Molecule: ribosomal RNA, 1254 nt
Filed under: Weissella cibaria
Lineage: Bacteria; Bacillati; Bacillota; Bacilli; Lactobacillales; Lactobacillaceae
Description: bacterial SSU rRNA
Rfam family: Bacterial small subunit ribosomal RNA
Source: RNAcentral
CUAACCAUAAAGAAUGGUCCCGCGGUCCAUUAGUUAGUGGGGGAGGUAAUGGCUCACCAAGCCGAUGAUGCAUAGCCGAGUUGAGAGACUGAUCGGCCACAAUGGGACUGAGACCCGGCCCAUAUUCCUACGGGAGGCAGCAGUAGGGAAUCUUCCACAAUGGGCGAAAGCCUGAUGGAGCAACGCCGCGUGUGUGAUGAAGGGUUUCGGCUCGUAAAACACUGUUGUAAGAGAAGAAUGACAUUGAGAGUAACUGUUCAAUGUGUGACGGUAUCUUACCAGAAAGGAACGGCUAAAUACGUGCCAGCAGCCGCGGUAAUACGUAUGUUCCAAGCGUUAUCCGGAUUUAUUGGGCGUAAAGCGAGCGCAGACGGUUAUUUAAGUCUGAAGUGAAAGCCCUCAGCUCAACUGAGGAAUUGCUUUGGAAACUGGAUGACUUGAGUGCAGUAGAGGAAAGUGGAACUCCAUGUGUAGCGGUGAAAUGCGUAGAUAUAUGGAAGAACACCAGUGGCGAAGGCGGCUUUCUGGACUGUAACUGACGUUGAGGCUCGAAAGUGUGGGUAGCAAACAGGAUUAGAUACCCUGGUAGUCCACACCGUAAACGAUGAGUGCUAGGUGUUUGAGGGUUUCCGCCCUUAAGUGCCGCAGCUAACGCAUUAAGCACUCCGCCUGGGGAGUACGACCGCAAGGUUGAAACUCAAAGGAAUUGACGGGGACCCGCACAAGCGGUGGAGCAUGUGGUUUAAUUCGAAGCAACGCGAAGAACCUUACCAGGUCUUGACAUCCCUUGACAACUCCAGAGAUGGAGCGUUCCCUUCGGGGACAAGGUGACAGGUGGUGCAUGGUUGUCGUCAGCUCGUGUCGUGAGAUGUUGGGUUAAGUCCCGCAACGAGCGCAACCCUUAUUACUAGUUGCCAGCAUUCAGUUGGGCACUCUAGUGAGACUGCCGGUGACAAACCGGAGGAAGGUGGGGAUGACGUCAAAUCAUCAUGCCCCUUAUGACCUGGGCUACACACGUGCUACAAUGGCGUAUACAACGAGUUGCCAACCCGCGAGGGUGAGCUAAUCUCUUAAAGUACGUCUCAGUUCGGAUUGUAGGCUGCAACUCGCCUACAUGAAGUCGGAAUCGCUAGUAAUCGCGGAUCAGCACGCCGCGGUGAAUACGUUCCCGGGUCUUGUACACACCGCCCGUCACACCAUGAGAGUUUGUAACACCCAAAGCCGGUGGGGUAACCUUCGGAGCCAGCCGUCUAA